RNAcentral lists this transfer RNA (69 nucleotides) under Marmota monax (woodchuck). RNAcentral describes it as "tRNA.Ala". Lineage: Eukaryota; Metazoa; Chordata; Mammalia; Rodentia; Sciuridae. The record is from RNAcentral.
GGCUGUAGCUCAGUGGCAGAGUGCUUGCCUUGCACACAUGUGAGGCACUGGGUUCGAUCCUCAGCAUCA